CGGAUGGGUGAGUAACACGUGGGUAACCUGCCCUAAAGUCUGGGAUACCACUUGGAAACAGGUGCUAAUACCGGAUAACAACAAUAGCUGCAUGGCUAUUGCUUAAAAGGCGGCGAAAGCUGUCGCUAAAGGAUGGACCCGCGGUGCAUUAGCUAGUUGGUAAGGUAAUGGCUUACCAAGGCGACGAUGCAUAGCCGAGUUGAGAGACUGAUCGGCCACAUUGGGACUGAGACACGGCCCAAACUCCUACGGGAGGCAGCAGUAGGGAAUCUUCCACAAUGGGCGAAAGCCUGAUGGAGCAACGCCGCGUGAGUGAAGAAGGUUUUCGGAUCGUAAAGCUCUGUUGUUGGUGAAGAAGGAUAGAGGUAGUAACUGGCCCCUAUUUGACGGUAAUCAACCAGAAAGUCACGGCUAACUACGUGCCAGCAGCCGCGGUAAUACGUAGGUGGCAAGCGUUGUCCGGAUUUAUUGGGCGUAAAGCGAGCGCAGGCGGAAAGAUAAGUCUGAUGUGAAAGCCCCCGGCUUAACCGAGGAAUUGCAUCGGAAACUGUGUUUCUUGAGUGCAGAAGAGGAGAGUGGAACUCCAUGUGUAGCGGUGGAAUGCGUAGAUAUAUGGAAGAACACCAGUGGCGAAGGCGGCUCUCUGGUCUGUAACUGACGCUGAGGCUCGAAAGCAUGGGUAGCGAACAGGAUUAGAUACCCUGGUAGU
RNAcentral lists this ribosomal RNA (709 nucleotides) under uncultured bacterium. Its description in RNAcentral is "bacterial SSU rRNA". It matches the Rfam family "Bacterial small subunit ribosomal RNA", at positions 99 to 794 of the family's 1533-position model. The record is from RNAcentral.